RNAcentral lists this ribosomal RNA (254 nucleotides) under uncultured bacterium. Its description in RNAcentral is "partial 16S ribosomal RNA". It matches the Rfam family "Bacterial small subunit ribosomal RNA", at positions 524 to 776 of the family's 1533-position model. The record is from RNAcentral.
UACGGGGGGAGCAAGCGUUGUUCGGAUUUACUGGGCGUAAAGGGCGCGUAGGCGGUCAGCACAAGUCAGUUGUGAAAUCUCCGGGCUUAACUCGGAAAGGUCAACUGAUACUGUGCGACUAGAGUGCGGAAGGGGCAACUGGAAUUCUCGGUGUAGCGGUGAAAUGCGUAGAUAUCAAGAGGAACACCUGCGGCGAAGGCGGGUUGCUGGGCCGACACUGACGCUGAUGCGCGAAAGCCAGGGGAGCGAACGGG